CCUCAUCCUGGGGAGCACAGCGCUGUGUGCAGACGUGCCUUGGGCAUGGCAAGAAGGAGCUGGGAUGCCAGGGGUGCUGGUACCCUGCUCUUGCUGAGCUGGCUUGCAGGUGCCAGCGAGAUAGAGACGGAGACCUGCAGCUCCCCAGGUGACUUUCCCCCACCAGCACUCUUCUCAAACAGCUCUUCAGCUCAGGAAGGCGACUUGGUUCUGGCACGCUGCCUUGUUUUUUCCCACUUCCCCGUUGCCCGCAUCUUCUUCUGCAAGAACGGGGUGGAGCUGGCAAACCACCCAGUUGGGAAAGGGCAGUUCACCUCCACGCUCACCUUCCGGCUCUCACCAGAGAGCAGCGGCACCUACUCCUGCGGGUACCUGCGCCUGAGCAGCCUCGGACAGGUCAAGCUUUCGAGGCUGAGUGUCCCGUGGCUCCUGAGUGCUGGAGGCAGGAAGGAUGCUCCAAGGAAUGACAGCGUUGCCCUGAGCCCGGAGCUGGCAGCUGAAGGGCUGGGAGUCUCAGGCAGCCUGGCCUUUGUGGUUCUCUCUUUCCUGACUCUGGCUCUUGUGGUCCAUCUCCUGCUGCAGAUAGGAAAGCGAGUCCAGCUGGCCAAGUUAAAGGCUUUCAUCUCCUGCUAGAAGGUCACAACACCUCACAAACACUGUGAAGGAAGAAAAGUCCAGGAGCCUUUUGCAGUCCUGCUGCUGGACCAGAGAAACGCAUUGGGGUGCUGAGGACUGCUGCACAGGCCACUCUGAUAUCUGCAGUGCCCCACAGCCAUGUCAGGGGUAAUUGGCCCAGGAUGAUAUGCCUUGGGUCAGUGCCACGUGCACUGUGUAGGCAAUUGCCGAAAGCACCACCUCAGCCUUUGCAGUGUCCUGAGCACCCAGCUGCUCCAUCUGCAGCCCCAGAGACACAGCACUCAGCCACAAAAUGCAGCUCUACUGCCAGAGCCAGCAGAGUUUGCUCCAGGCUCCUGGGAGCAGCUGUGAACAUUGCGGUGGCUCAGGAGCAAGAAGGUGCAUUCAUUAAAAAGGUGCUUCACCCUCUGAUUCUUGGUCCUUUUUAGUGGUCUCUGAAAGGCUAGGAGCUGAGAUCCUCCACCAGAUGCAGCUAGGAGCCAGAGUCCUAGGGGAGUCUCAGCUGUAGAGCUUGCCUCAGACAGGCACGGUUGGAGCCCAUAAAGAUGUAAGGGCUGGACUGCAUUUCGCAAAGGCACAGCCAGCACAAAGAACCGCUUGCCAGCAGCACCCAAGAGAGGAAGAGGCUACACCUGGCAGGACUCUCCAUCAGAGCCAUUUUGCACACUGUUCACCAAACACCUGAUGCAACAGACCCAUUCAACAGGGACAAAGGGUGAAGGGAAAGGGGAGAAGCUGGGUUUGCUCCAUAUCGCCCUGCCCCUAAUACCACUCUCCGAAGGGAGGAAAGUGGGGGGGUGUCAGGUCAUCGGACAUGGUGAUGGAGACAUCUCCGCCUCACUCUGCUCUUUCCCCCUUUCAGCUGCAUUGAACCCUUCAGACAAUAACUGUUGGGGGAU
Long non-coding RNA from Apteryx owenii (little spotted kiwi), 1535 nucleotides. The record is from Ensembl. NCBI's taxonomy places the organism in Eukaryota, Metazoa, Chordata, Aves, Apterygiformes, Apterygidae.